RNAcentral lists this ribosomal RNA (468 nucleotides) under uncultured bacterium. RNAcentral describes it as "partial 16S ribosomal RNA". It matches the Rfam family "Bacterial small subunit ribosomal RNA", at positions 28 to 507 of the family's 1533-position model. The record is from RNAcentral.
GACGAACGCUGGCGGCGUGCUUAACACAUGCAAGUCGAACGGAAAGGCCCUGCUUUUGUGGGGUGCUCGAGUGGCGAACGGGUGAGUAACACGUAAGUAACCUGCCCUUGACUUUGGGAUAACUUCAGGAAACUGGGGCUAAUACCGAAUAGGAGCUCCUGCGCCAUGGUGGGGGUUGAAAAGUUUCGGCGGUUGGGGAUGGACUCGCGGCUUAUCAGCUUGUUGGUGGGGUAGUGGCUUACCAAGGCUUUGACGGGUAGCCGGCCUGAGAGGGUGACCGGCCACAUUGGGACUGAGAUACGGCCCAGACUCCUACGGGAGGCAGCAGUGGGGAAUAUUGCACAAUGGGCGGAAGCCUGAUGCAGCAACGCCGCGUGCGGGAUGACGGCCUUCGGGUUGUAAACCGCUUUCGCCUGUGACGAAGCGUGAGUGACGGUAAUGGGUAAAGAAGCACCGGCUAACUACGUG